GCCUUGGCGUCUCAGAGAGUUUGAUCCUGGCUUAGGAUGAACGCUGGCGGCGUGCUUAACACAUGCAAGUCGAACGAAGCAACUAUCUUGCUUGCAAGAGAGUUGACUUAGUGGCGGACGGGUGAGUAACGCGUGGGUAACCUGCCUCAUACAGGGGGAUAACAGUUGGAAACGACUGCUAAGACCGCAUAACCCGCUAGUGUCGCAUGACACGGACGGAAAAUAUUUAUAGGUAUGAGAUGGGCCCGCGUCUGAUUAGCUAGUUGGUAAGGUAACGGCUUACCAAGGCGACGAUCAGUAGCCGACUUGAGAGAGUGAUCGGCCACAUUGGGACUGAGACACGGCCCAAACUCCUACGGGAGGCAGCAGUGGGGAAUAUUGGACAAUGGGGGAAACCCUGAUCCAAGCGACGCCGCGUGAGUGAAGAAGUAUUUCGGUAUGUAAAGCUCUAUCAGCAGGGAAGAUAAUGACAGUACCUGACUAAGAAGCCCCGGCUAACUACGUGCCAGCCGCUGC
RNAcentral lists this ribosomal RNA (516 nucleotides) under uncultured bacterium. RNAcentral's name for it is "bacterial SSU rRNA". It matches the Rfam family "Bacterial small subunit ribosomal RNA", at positions 1 to 518 of the family's 1533-position model. The record is from RNAcentral.